CCUACGGGAGGCAGCAGUGGGGAAUAUUGGGCAAUGGAGGAAACUCUGACCCAGCAACGCCGCGUGAAUGAUGAAGGUCUUCGGAUUGUAAAGUUCUUUUCUAUGGGAAGAAGAAAGUGACGGUACCUUAGUAAUAAGCCUCGGCUAACUACGUGCCAGCAGCCGCGGUAAUACGGAGGAGGCAAGCGUUAUCCGGAAUGACUGGGCGUAAAGGGUGCGUAGGUGGUUCAGCAAGUUAGUAGCGUAAUUCCGUGGCUCAACUUCGGCACUACUACUAAAACUGUUGGACUUGAGUGCAGGAGGGGCAACUGGAAUUUGUAGUGUAGCGGUGGAAUGCGUAGAUAUUAGGAAGAACACCGGUGGCGAAGGCGAGUUGCUGGACUGUAACUGACACUGAGGCACGAAAGCGUGGGGAGCAAACAGGAUUAGAUACCCCAGUAGUC
This 443-nucleotide ribosomal RNA is filed under the name uncultured bacterium. RNAcentral's name for it is "partial 16S ribosomal RNA". It matches the Rfam family "Bacterial small subunit ribosomal RNA", at positions 338 to 795 of the family's 1533-position model. The record is from RNAcentral.